CGCUUUGCGCAGUGGCAGUAUCAUAGCCAAUGAGGUUUAUCCAAGGAGUGAUUAUUGCUAAUUGAAAACUUUUCCCAAUACCCCACCGUGACAACUUGCAAAAACAGUAACUACAGAAAAAUAUGCCAUUCUCUUUGAAA
RNAcentral lists this small nuclear RNA (140 nucleotides) under Carlito syrichta (Philippine tarsier). RNAcentral's name for it is "U4 spliceosomal RNA (ENSTSYG00000034718.1)". It matches the Rfam family "U4 spliceosomal RNA". From Rfam's summary of the family: U4 small nuclear RNA (U4 snRNA) is a component of the major U2-dependent spliceosome. The structure of U4 snRNA from yeast and human has been reported. U4 snRNA presents a k-turn RNA motif in the 5p-SL related to recognition of Snu13 protein. Lineage: Eukaryota; Metazoa; Chordata; Mammalia; Primates; Tarsiidae. The record is from Rfam by way of RNAcentral.